Molecule: long non-coding RNA, 670 nt
Organism: Olea europaea var. sylvestris
Lineage: Eukaryota; Viridiplantae; Streptophyta; Magnoliopsida; Lamiales; Oleaceae
Exons: 3
Source: RefSeq, a predicted model, not a curated record
CCCCAAAUUGAAAUUAUUCAUGAUUCCCCCAAAACCCCAAAUCCCGCCCGCAGCUUUCUUUCAUCCUGAACCUGAAGAUCAAAUCUGGCAGCCUGUGAUUGUUCCCGCCGGUAAACUAACUGCCGCACACCGUUGGUCUUAGCUUGAAGACGAAAGCCCACCGAAACCCAACAUCGAAAUCCUAUUUGAAGACGGAAGUCGAAACGUAGAUGAUGGACAAAGGAAAAGAGAUUAUGAAAGAUGAGAAUCAUGAUUUGUUGGUAGAAUGUGAUAACGAGAACACAAUGGCCAAUUUGAACACACUGGACAACGGACAAUUAGGAAAAGAUGCUGCAACUACACCCGAGAACCAACUCUCUCAGCUGCAUGACUUGUUGACGUUGUUCAAUGACUUGUUGGGUGCAGUAAUUUAAGGUCACAUUCUCAUUUUCUGGAAAUUCACGUCACCUGGACAAUUGUUUUACUGGAUUUGAAUGACGCUAGUGAAUGCAUAAACCCCAAAGUUUAUGUAACUUGUUUGUGGUGAACUGGGCUGAUUUGAACAACUUAGCUUGGUUGUGAUGUAAUUGGCUUAUUUAUUUAUUUUCCUUUUUUCAGUCAAUUGUAUAUUUGAACAACUUUUUCUAUCAUUGAUUUUUAUUAAUUUUAGCAUAAUUUAGGAUUUUGAUAA